GGGGACUGAGAGAGAGAGAGAGAGAGAGAAGGAAGGGGGUGGGCGAGGGGUAUAGGGAUUGGGGAAAGAGGCGAGGGAGAGAGAGAGGAAAUUGGAAGGGAGAGAAGAAGGGGUGGUGCGGAGCCAUAGAUCGGUAAUCGAGGCUGCUGCCACAGCCGUUGCCAUGGCGGCGUCGCAGCAGAAUCUGUCGACUCUCUGAUUUCUUUCUCUUCCCCCAAAUUGGUUUCUUUCCGUUUCGGAUAUCAAGACAAGCGGAGAGAAGAGCGCAGCAGCUAGCAAAGCGUGUAGCGGGCGAGGAGGAGGAAUUAAAGAAGCAGAGAAGGGGAAGUGGAGCCGUGUGUGUAUAACUGUAUAUAUAUACAGAGAGAGAAGGGACGGGCAGCGUCGUCUGCUUCUGCUGCAACGCCGCCGCUUGCAGCACGCUGCCGGGGAGAAAAAAAAGCAGCAGCAGCACGCUGCCGGGGAGAAAAAAGCAGCAGCAGCUGCUGCUGCUGAAAAAAAGCAUACGGCGCCGACCGUUCCGCUUCGUGCCUUCGCCUUCUUUAUCCCUCGGAGGGAUGGGCAGAUAUAAUUAAGGCGGGGGGAGAGGGAGUUAUGGCAGGGUUUUUUCUGGGAGGAGGAGGAGGAGGCAGCGGCGCCGGGAGCGGUCGUCAGCCACCGCGCGGCGGAGUGCCUACUGCAGAAGGCGGUUUGUUUCUUUGUGAACCCCGCGGCGGCGGACGGGACGAGGACGCCGCUGCCGCUGGGUAUGAGAUUCGGGGGUUGGAGCUUUGGCAGCAACACGGCCAGAUCUACCCCGGUGGUGCCAUCGUCUUCCCCGACGAGGCCCAACCGCUCAGCGGCGUGAGCUGCCGGGACUGCGGGAACCAGGCGAAGAAGGACUGCGUCUACCUCCGUUGCCGCACCUGCUGCAAAAGCCGCGGCUUUGACUGCCCAACACAUGUCAAGAGCACCUGGAUCCCUGCCGCCAAGCGCCGCGAGCGCCAGCAGCAGCUCGCCGCCGCUCCUCAGCCGGAAUUCACCAGCUGCGACGGCACCGAGCCUUCCAAACGCCAGCGGGAGCUCGCGGCGGUGAGCACGCAACCCACGACUGCAAUCGCAGCCGCAUCCACGUUUGGUUGCUGGCGAGCUACAGGAGAGCUUCCCGGCGGAGUUGAGCGCGCCGGCGGUGUUCCGAUGCGUGCGGGUGAGCCACGUGGUCGAGGGGGACGACGUCUAUGCUUACCAGGCGGCGGUAAGCAUCGGCGGUCACGUUUUCAAGGGGCUGCUCUACGACCACGGCCCGGAGGAGGGGUCGGAGAUAUACCCAGGAGGCGUCGGCGGCGGCGGCGGCGGCGGCGGUUUCUCCUCUUCCCGUCACCAUCAUCACCUCCAACCAGGCGAGACCGGCUCCUCCUCCUCCCCCACUCCUGCGGCCUCGCUCAGAGACGCCGACAUCAACGCGACGGCGACAGCGCCAUCCGUCGACCAACUGCUCGACCCGUAUCCGGCGCCGCUGAGCGCGUUCAUGGCCGGCACGCCGUUCUUCCCACACCAAAACAGACCUUGACACACGCAUCGCCUUCGAUCGAACUAGAGAGAGUAAUUAAAUUGCAGUUUGGUCACUGCAUCUACAUGGAAUUAAAGCAGAAGAAGAGGGAGAUGAAGCUACAGUUCUAUGGUUGCAUGGAAGUAAACAGGGUCUGCAGAGGAAUACUGGGCGAAAUGAUGAAAAAGGGUGAGGGGCUACUGCAAGGGACUUAAUUGGAGGACAAUGAGUGUGUGUCACUGCUCCUUCAAGGGGGGGAUACGGAUACACUUGUCCCUUCCUGCCAUCUUCUUUGCGCCCUUUGUCCUCUAACUGCAUUCUCUCACCUAGCUUCAAUUGAAAAGAUCAUCCUUGGCUACAGAAUGCCAAUAAGGCACCCAAUGUAAAUCUUGGUGAAACUGUUCGAGCAAGACUCCAGCAAUUUUCAAUGAUAAAUAAAUUUAAAAAGAAAGCUCUUAGGGUGAUAGCUGAACACUUGUCUGUGGAGGAGAUUGCCGACAUAAAGGAAAUGUUUGAGAAUAUGGAUAUCAACAAAAAAGGGCAGAUAAAUUUUGAUGAGUUAAAGUAUGGUUUGCGCAAGCUCGGACACCAGGUUGUUGAUUCAGAUGUCAAAGCAUUAUUGGAAGCAGUAA
This is an RNA transcript of Zingiber officinale, 2160 nucleotides long. It is a transcript of the gene named protein SHORT INTERNODES-like, with no coding region annotated. The transcript is spliced from 6 exons. Lineage: Eukaryota; Viridiplantae; Streptophyta; Magnoliopsida; Zingiberales; Zingiberaceae. The record is from RefSeq and is a predicted model, not a curated record.